AUACGGAGGGUGCAAGCGUUAAUGGGAAUUACUGGGCGUAAAGCGUACGUAGGCGGCAAGUUAAGUUAGAUGUGAAAGCCCCGGGCUCAACCUGGGAACUGCAUUUAAAACUGGCUUGCUAGAGUUGAGUAGAGGGGAGUGGAAUUUCAGGUGUAGCGGUGAAAUGCGUAGAGAUCUGAAGGAACACCAGUGGCGAAGGCGACUCCCUGGACUCGAACUGACGCUGAGGUACGAAAGCGUGGGUAGCAAACGGGAUUAGAUACCCCAGUAGUCC
RNAcentral lists this ribosomal RNA (274 nucleotides) under uncultured bacterium. RNAcentral's name for it is "partial 16S ribosomal RNA". It matches the Rfam family "Bacterial small subunit ribosomal RNA", at positions 523 to 796 of the family's 1533-position model. The record is from RNAcentral.